CGGUAACACCCGGUAAGCCCGGUACGGCCCAAACCGGCGAAGGACGGGACGCCCGGUCGAAGGUGGGACUCGGCGAUUGGGGUG
This 84-nucleotide ribosomal RNA is filed under the name uncultured bacterium. RNAcentral's name for it is "partial 16S ribosomal RNA". The record is from RNAcentral.